This 625-nucleotide ribosomal RNA is filed under the name Sanguibacter sp. Ri1Pw_5623. Its description in RNAcentral is "bacterial SSU rRNA". It matches the Rfam family "Bacterial small subunit ribosomal RNA", at positions 387 to 1021 of the family's 1533-position model. Lineage: Bacteria; Bacillati; Actinomycetota; Actinomycetes; Micrococcales; Sanguibacteraceae. The record is from RNAcentral.
UGCAGCGACGCCGCGUGGGGGAUGAAGGCCUUCGGGUUGUAAACCCCUUUCAGCAGGGAAGAAGCGAGAGUGACGGUACCUGCAGAAGAAGCGCCGGCUAACUACGUGCCAGCAGCCGCGGUAAUACGUAGGGCGCAAGCGUUGUCCGGAAUUAUUGGGCGUAAAGAGCUCGUAGGCGGUUUGUCGCGUCUGGUGUGAAAACUCAAGGCUCAACCUUGAGCUUGCACCGGGUACGGGCAGACUAGAGUGCGGUAGGGGUGACUGGAAUUCCUGGUGUAGCGGUGGAAUGCGCAGAUAUCAGGAGGAACACCGAUGGCGAAGGCAGGUCACUGGGCCGCAACUGACGCUGAGGAGCGAAAGCAUGGGGAGCGAACAGGAUUAGAUACCCUGGUAGUCCAUGCCGUAAACGUUGGGCACUAGGUGUGGGGCUCAUUCCACGAGUUCCGUGCCGCAGCAAACGCAUUAAGUGCCCCGCCUGGGGAGUACGGCCGCAAGGCUAAAACUCAAAGGAAUUGACGGGGGCCCGCACAAGCGGCGGAGCAUGCGGAUUAAUUCGAUGCAACGCGAAGAACCUUACCAAGGCUUGACAUACACCGGAAUCAUGCAGAGAUGUGUGCGUCUUCGG